Molecule: ribosomal RNA, 386 nt
Filed under: uncultured bacterium
Lineage: Bacteria
Description: bacterial SSU rRNA
Rfam family: Bacterial small subunit ribosomal RNA
Source: RNAcentral
AAUCUGCCCAGUAGUAGGGGACAACUCGGGGAAACUCGAGCUAAUACCGUAUAUUUCCUAAGGGAGAAAGACUUCGGUCGCUAUUGGAUGAGCCUAUGUCAGAUUAGCUUGUUGGUAGGGUAAUGGCCUACCAAGGCGACGAUCUGUAGCUGGUCUGAGAGGAUGAUCAGCCACACUGGGACUGAGACACGGCCCAGACUCCUACGGGAGGCAGCAGUGGGGAAUAUUGGACAAUGGGCGAAAGCCUGAUCCAGCAAUGCAGCGUGUGUGAAGAAGGCCUGAGGGUUGUAAAGCACUUUCAGUAGGGAAGAUAAUGACGGUACCUACAGAAGAAGCACCGGCUAACUCCGUGCCAGCAGCCGCGGUAAUACGGAGGGUGCAAGCGU